UACGUAGGGUGCAAGCGUUGUCCGGAAUUAUUGGGCGUAAAGAGCUCGUAGGCGGUUUGUCGCGUCUGCUGUGAAAACUCGGGGCUUAACUCCGGGCCUGCAGUGGGUACGGGCAGACUAGAGUGCGGUAGGGGAGACUGGAAUUCCUGGUGUAGCGGUGAAAUGCGCAGAUAUCAGGAGGAACACCGGUGGCGAAGGCGGCAUCCUGGACCGGCAUUGACGCUGAUGAGCGAAAGCUAGGGGAGCAAACGGG
Molecule: ribosomal RNA, 253 nt
Filed under: uncultured bacterium
Lineage: Bacteria
Description: partial 16S ribosomal RNA
Rfam family: Bacterial small subunit ribosomal RNA
Source: RNAcentral